AUAUCGACUUUGGGAGAACCAACCUAGUUGGUGCCGAAGGAGCAACCGCCCCGGAAACUCUCAGGCAACCGGACCGACGUCGUUAC
This 86-nucleotide non-coding RNA is filed under the name Octadecabacter ascidiaceicola. Its description in RNAcentral is "Glycine". It matches the Rfam family "Glycine riboswitch aptamer". Rfam says of the family: This family represents the bacterial glycine riboswitch. Glycine riboswitches usually consist of two metabolite-binding aptamers domains with similar structures in tandem. Lineage: Bacteria; Pseudomonadati; Pseudomonadota; Alphaproteobacteria; Rhodobacterales; Roseobacteraceae. The record is from RNAcentral.